Mastomys coucha (southern multimammate mouse) is the source of this 662-nucleotide long non-coding RNA. RefSeq lists it as uncharacterized. Lineage: Eukaryota; Metazoa; Chordata; Mammalia; Rodentia; Muridae. The record is from RefSeq and is a predicted model, not a curated record. The transcript has 4 exons.
AUUAUGAUUAAACCAAUAGCUGACCAGUGAGAGUACAAGAAGUUCAGAAGCUAACAGUUGUUUCUACGGUUUGGUAUAUCAAAGUUAAUCUUGACCUGAUUUGUGAUGAACUGACCUCAGCUCCAGCACCCUCACCCCAGGUUUCCGUUCUCAGAAAAGCCACCCCAGCAGAGUCCUGAGUCACAGAAGUCUAUCUCAGAUUACUAUCUAUUCUUCAGCAUCAUAUUUUAAAGAGACCAUAGAGUACUACAAAGGACUGCCAGCAGGGACAGGACGGCUCAAGUUCAAUUGUGCGUAAAACCAAAGCACUGGUCUGGCAGCGCUUGUCAUGGCUGAGCCGCUGGUGGCCGGGAGGUCCUAUCAGGUCAGAGUCUGCAGGAGCAAGAUCUUCUCAUUAAUGCAGAAGCGAUGCAGUACCACCAUGAGGUUCUCACCACAGCGGGAGACCUGGCGCUCCAUGGCCAGGCGGAAGUCCUCCUUUACACCUUUGGUGAUGCCUCGAGUGACUGUGUGGUGCCUGAGGUCAGUGAAAGGGAAACAGAAGAGAGCUCGGUUAAAAGCAGCACCAUGACCUAGUGUUACCUGGGUAAGAAUCAGCCUGCCUCAUAGCUAAGUGUGGUCACGCAUUUAAACCAAACUUAAAAAGAAAAGCUGCAACCAGA